RNAcentral lists this long non-coding RNA (8672 nucleotides) under Marmota monax (woodchuck). The record is from RNAcentral. Lineage: Eukaryota; Metazoa; Chordata; Mammalia; Rodentia; Sciuridae.
ACCAGUCUUCUUCUCCCUUCCCUGAUCCCUGGGCAUCAGCAUCAUGGGCCCAGGUGGCCUUGGGCCAGGGAUGGCGUAGGCCAGUCAAGGCCUCACCCAGACGUCACCACCCCCUUCUUACAGUCCGCCAGCUCCUCAGGAGUGGAGUCAGCCCCGACCUGGCCAAUGAGGAUGGGCUGACAGCACUGCACCAGGUCAGCCUGUGUGCGGGGUGGGCAGGGCAGGGGCUGGCAGGGCUCAGGCCACUCAGGCUGUGUGUUUGCAGUGCUGCAUUGAUGAUUUCCGAGAGAUGGUGCAACAGCUCCUGGAGGCUGGGGCUGACGUCAAUGCCCGUGACAGCGAGUGCUGGACCCCCCUGCAUGCUGCAGCCACCUGUGGCCACCUGCACCUGGUGGAGCUUCUCAUUGCCCGGUAGUGUCCAUUGGGCCUUUAUCAUGGAGGGGCUUUCUCACAGAUGGCAGCUCAUGUGGCUAUUCUGUGAAGCUGGUCAGGUCCUGGCUUCCUGUGUCCUCACCUCUGUCCAUCCUGCUUGAGACCCCUGGGGGAUAGUUUGGGCCCACCUGGUAGGCUGGACCACCAGCUCUGGAUGGAGGGCCUUCUCAUGGUCUCCCCUGAGAAAUGCCAUUCUGGUUAGGGUUGAGGGUAGAACGAAUAAGGGGGUAAGGGGAGCAGAGAGGCCAGGUGGGUCUCGGAGGGUGUGCGUGGGUAUCGGUGAGGACUUUUCUCCAACAGGAAGGAAGGUGGAGUGGGGAGUGGUGGUAAGCCCUGUAACUCCAGCUACUUGGGAGGCUGCGACAGGAGGAUCUCAAGUUCAAGGCCAGCCUGGGCAACUUAGAUCUUAUCUCAAAGAUUAAAAAAAAAUGUUUUGGUGGUAUUGGGGAUUAAACUCAGGAUCUCAGGCUAGGCAGCCAUUCUACCACUAAGCUAUAUCCCCAGCCCUUUAAAGUAAAAAAAGAAAAAAUAAAAAAGUAACAAUUAAUGAAAGGACUGAGGAUGUAGCUCAGCUUUUGCCAAGGGUGGACGUGGCUUUGGGUUCAAUCCCUAGUUACACACACACACACACACAUAAAUAAAUAAAUAAAUAGGACUGGGGAUUUUACUUAGUGUUAAAGCACAUCUGGGCUCAGUCCCCAGUACUGGGGGAUGGGAGGAGGAUGGAGCAGAGGAGGUUAGUGGCUUCCUCAGGUUCAGGAGCCUGUCCUUCCUCCCCCCAUCCUGGGCCUCUCCAGUAGAUCAGAGAUCCUCGUGUGGGUGACUGGCUGUUGCCAUCACACAUAAGUGCCUCCUCUGAGUAGAGCAGUAGCCAUGCAGCAAACAGGCCCCCAGGCUCCCCUUGGAGCUGGUGACAGGCUGCAGGUGGGUUCCAAACCUUAGGCAGCCCCUCUGUGUCCUUUGCUCCCCCCAGCUCCCCUUCCCCCAGGCCUGCUUCCCCUGAUCUGUGGGCUCAAAAUCAGCAACUGCUUGGCUUUCUUGCUUCACUUCUCCCUGGGGUCCCCAGAGUGCUGCGUACCUCCUGCAGGUGUACCCUGUAUUUAUGGGGGACAGACGGGUGCCUUGGGCCUUGAAGCCCAGAUGGGUAGACUGCAGGAUGGCCUGUCUGCCUGAGGAACAAGAUCCAGAGCUGAGGGCCUUCCAGAUGAGCCCAGAGGCUUCCUCUCCCAACAGCAGCUAGAACCUACGAGUCCUCCCCAUGUCUGCUGGCACUUCCUGAAGGCAGUCCGAGGCUCAGGGAGGACUUGCUGAAAGGGGACUGAGCAGCCGGCAGCUCUCAUCCGUCCUCCCUGCAGGGGUGCUGAUCUCCUGGCAGUCAACACUGAUGGGAACAUGCCUUAUGACCUGUGUGAGGAUGAGCAGACACUGGACUGCCUGGAGACUGCCAUGGCCCACAGGGGUGAGUGUGCUGUGCCUGCCUGCUCGGGUGGGCCUGGGCAUUCCGUCUCUGAGCCUGCUGCUCCACAGGCAUCACCCAGGACAGCAUUGAGGAGGCCCGGGCCGUGCCAGAGCUGCUCAUGCUGAAGGACCUCCAGAGCCUUCUGCAUGUUGGGGCUGACCUCAAUGACCCGCUGGACCAUGGAGCCACACUGGUGAGGACUUGGCCACGUGGAGGGGGUCUGUUCAGGGGCUGGGGGCUUGUUGGGUGGGUGUGGGACUGGGAUUCAGGGCGGGGUGGCCUGCCUGCAGCUGCACAUGGCCGCCGCCAGUGGGUUCAGUGAGGCAGCUGCCCUGCUGCUGGAGCAUGGAGCCAGCCUGACUGCCAAGGACCUCGACGGCUGGGAGCCGCUGCACGCUGCCGCCUACUGGGGACAGGUGAGUGUGGUCAGGAGCAGAUGCUGAGCGGGCUCUUGGCUGCGGCUCAAGCCCUCAGCAGCCCCCACUGGCUGGCCUGCAGGUGCACCUGGUGGAGCUGCUUGUGGCAAACGGGGCCGACCUGAAUGGGAGAUCCCUGACGGAUGAGACACCCCUUGGUGAGCUCCAGGGCUGCCUCCACCUGGGGGAAGGGACAGGCAGGGAGGGCCCCUGUGACGCUUGUGGUCAUCUCUCAGAUGUCUGUGGUGAUGAGGAGGUGCGGGCCAGGCUGCUGCAGCUGAAGCAGAAGCAGGAGGCACUCUUGCGAGCCCAGGGCCGCCAGCGCUCCCUGCUGCGCCGCCGCGCCUCCAGUGCAGGCAGCCGCGGGUGAGCUGCCCCACAGUCCAUGCCCAGCCCCCACCCCGGCUGUGCCUCAGGAUGGAUGGGAUGUCAGCCUGCAGGUGGAGCUGCCAGCACAACUAGGCCGGGUCUGAGGGACAGCUGGUGUCCCCUCUCACCUCCACCACACCCCGGCCUUCCAGGAAAGUGGUGAGGCGAGUGAGCCUGACCCAGCGCACCGACCUGUACCGCCAGGAGCAUGCCCAGGAGGCCAUCGUGUGGCAGCAGCCACCACCCCCAAGUCCAGAGCCGCUGGAGGAGGAUGAGGACCACCAGACAGACGCAGAGCUCUGGCUGCCACCCCCAGAGGUGAGAGUCCUGGCCUUGUGCUACCCACCUUCCACGUGGCUUUGGCAUGGGUCCUAGGCUGUGACCUGGCAUCAGUAUGUGAGUUUCCCAUUCACACUGGUCCAGUGUGGAGCUGGGAGGACCAGUGACCUUGUGCCCCUAGGUGGGCCAUGCUCCUCAGGGCUGGGCUGUUGUCCCCCUGCCCCUCACGGUUGUUCUUCUACAACCAGGUAGCCUAGAUCCUGAGGCCAGGGCAAGUAAGAGGAGCUGCCUCCUGACAGCCUUGGGCCCUGAUUCUGCCCACAGGAAGAUGACCCUGAGGUGGCCAGGUCCCACAAUGGCCGAGUAGGGGGCCCCCCAGGGCGGCACCUAUACUCCAAGCGGCUGGACCGGAGUGUGUCGUACCAGCUGAGCCCUGUGGAGAGUACCACCCCAGACACCCUUGUCCGGGACAAGGCCCACCACACCUUGGCCGAACUCAAACGCCAGCGGGCUGCUGCCAAGCUCCUGCGACCACAGCCUGAGGGGCCUGAGGCCCCUGAAUCUGGCUUGUCUGCUGACCCCGUGUCCUCCCAGCCGGACUGCGGCUUCAGGGCAGGCGGGGACCCACCCCUGCUCAAGCUCACAGCCCCAUCUGAGGAGGCCCCGAUGGAGAAGAGGCCAUGCUGCUUGCUCAUGUGAGGGGCUGUACCCAUUUCCAGGCCAGCCCGAGGCUUGCCCUGGAGGCCCACUCAGGGUGUGCCCUGGAACUGCAGGUGGGCAGACACCAGAGUCUUCCCCAGCUUCUACCCCUCAGGACAGUGGACUCUCUGUUGGGGAUGGACUUUAGGCAGAGCCGUAUCUGCAGGCAUCUGCUGCAGAGUGUUUGUCCUGUGACGCUUGAUAAAGGGGUGUUUGUCGUCAAGCCUUCCAGUGUCUCCGCUGGGGAGGGGCAGGCGGUGCUGCUGGACAGGUGCCGCCCAUGCCCUCGAGCAAGCACUCAGGCCUGUAGGUGCGUGCUGGGGCUCGCAAGUAGAGGCCUGGCCCCUGUGUGGGAGGGAGGCCCAAGGGCCACUGGGCAAGAAGCCUGGCCUUCCCCACACCCUCCCUGCCAUAUUCGACUUCCUGGAAGCACUGUUAACUCUUUGUUUUCCUGAGGGCAGUAGGGUACUUCAGAAGGAAGCUCUUUUCGGGCCAGAGCUGAGGGGGACCAUACCAAGGGGCAGGAGUCCUGACCUGCCAAGGGAGGGCGUAUUUUUUCCAGGAUUCCUGGGCCAGAGCCAGUAGAGCAAAUCUGGCACGGCCGGCAUCAGGCACUUCCCAGGGGCAGUGGUUCCCCAAUUCGUGGCCUGUUGCCCUGAUCCUGGGCCCUGGCUGACAACUUGUGCCUGGGCUGGUGUAGGUGACAAGCACUUGGCCACUCAGGCGCCGAGCUGGCUGGGUACAAUGUGUAAGGAUGAAGGGGCCCUUAGGGGACUCAAGCUGGAGGGCUGAGGGCACUGCCAGAUCAUCUCUCUGUCCACAGUAGGCAGCCCUGCAUGGCCACCCGCACUGGGUGGUAUGAGUUUAGGCUACCCUCCUCUCCUUGCUGGGUACUGACCUGGUCUGCUCAGUGUCCAGGGCCCGCCUGCCCUUCUAGCAUCUGUGGUUGGAGGGUUGCUGCCCUUAGCAGGUCUGGGGGAGGGCCAGGGGCUAGCUGCUGGUUAAAUUUAGUGAGUGGGGCGGUACCUCUGCCUAAGGUCCACCUACCACCACAGCUGCCACUUGGGCCCUGAUGCCAGAAGUCAGGCAGUGGCUGGCUCUGACUGGGGCCGGGCUCAUAUUAACCUGUCCUCUGAUGUGAGGGCCAAAGGACAGGCCUGUGAAUUGGGAGGCCAUUGUGGCAGCAGAACUGAGAGGUGCAAGUUGAGAGAGGUAUGUGUGUGUGUGUCUGUGUGCAUGUGUGCGCGCGCGUGCAUUCCCCACUUAGAACUCCUGGUGGCUUCUCUCCCAAUCUGCAGAAACAGAGGAGCCAAGGCUCCCCUUCCGUCUAACCAGCUGCUACUGCCCAGCUCAGAGGGCUGGCUUCCCGACUGUCAGUUCACCCUUGGAUCUGGCUGGCCUGGCAGCCUGCAGAGGCAAACCCUGGGAAUGGCCUGUGAGCCUGUGGAGGUGGGGUUCUGGGGGCCUAUUGCAGUUUACUUCCUGCUCUCUCCACCAAUCAGGAAGGAGGGAAGGUGACAGGCUACCCACCCCCAUGGCUGGGGUGUGGCCCCAAGGGCAACCCCAGGCUCCUGUGUGUUGAAAGGGUAUGAGGGCCACCUGGGGCAAGGGGUUCGCCUGCCCUGUCUGCAGCCCUCCUCCUCCCUCCAGCCCCUUGCAAUGCUGAUCAGGGACCAAGGUCCAGCUGCAGUGUUCUUGUAGUCUCUGGGCCAUGGCCAUUGCCCUGGUGGAACUCAGAGUCUCUACUCCUCACUCGUCCCCCCCAGCCCCCCCAGCAUUCCUAAGGUCUGGCUGUCACCUAGGAGACAGGUCUGUCUGCUGGCCUAAGAAAAGAUGGGGGUGCCAAGAGGGCUAGGCCUCAGCAGUGCCCUGCUGAGGUAAAUCCAGUGGCUACUGGCUGCAGUCUCACCUUAGGGGUCACCCCUACCCAACUCUGCCAACCUCUCAGGUCCACUAGGCCCAGGCAUUGAGCCCUUCCCUCCCCCAACACCAAGGCCGUCUCUCCCUACCCCCCAUGUGGGUCUCCUGCGCUCCUGUCAUGGGGACACUGGGCGGGCACUGGGACUCACCCCAAGCCCCGCCUGCUGCCUCACCCACGCCCUCUGCCUCCCUGGGGCAGAACUGUGCCCAGACUAUGGGGUGGAGCCGAGGCGGCUCCAGCUCCUGCAGCCCUUUCUGUCCCUUUCAUUGGAGCCAGUAGGCUGCAGUGAAGCGGGUGUCCUCUUACGUUGAGCUCCCAAGCCUGGACCCUGCUGCCCCCACCACCACCUCUGGGCCUGCCACCUCCUGAGCCACCUUCCUGCCUGAUCUGAGCAGAGUCAUGGCCUUGAGAGUAGGUGACCAGAGCCGGGCUGCACGGAAUGGGCUGAGGGAGAAGGUGCUGACACUGGACUCCAUGAACCCGUGUGUGCGCAAGGUGGAGUACGCCGUGCGUGGCCCCAUAGUGCUGCGGGCCUUGGAGCUGGAGCAGGAGCUGCGCCAGGUACGGUCCCGAGGCCCUGCUACCCUCCUGCUGUUCCUGGGCUACUAGAUCAGCCUCUGGCCCAGUGGCACUUGGGACUAGGGCUGUGGGGGUAAUGGUGCCCAAUCUGGCUGCCUUCUCCCUUUCCCUCCCAGGGUGUGAAGAAACCCUUCACCGAGGUCAUCCGUGCCAACAUUGGAGAUGCACAGGCCAUGGGGCAGAGGCCCAUCACUUUCUUCCGCCAGGUGAGGCUCCUGUACUGCCUGUGUCCCCUGGCUCCAGCCAUCAGUGUGCCCUGACCUCAUCAUUCCGUCCGCCCAGGUCUUGGCCCUCUGUGUCCACCCAGAUCUCUUGCACAGCCCUGACUUCCCUGAGGAUGCCAAACGAAGGGCUCAGCGCAUCUUGCAGGCAUGCGGGGGCCACAGCCUGGGUGAGUGCUGGUGCCAGGCGGGGACCAAGCCCCAGGAAGAAGCAGAGAAGGGUGGAUCUCUUGGGAGGGUUGCGGGAGGACUAGCCACUUUCAUGGGUCUGCUCUGCUCUGCUUGCCGGAGUCCAGGGGCCUAUAGCAUCAGCUCUGGCAUCCAGCUGAUCCGUGAGGAUGUUGCACGGUACAUCGAGAGGCGAGAUGGAGGCAUCCCUGCUGACCCCAACAACAUCUUCCUGUCCACGGGUGCCAGUGAUGCCAUCGUGGUAGGCUGGGCCACGGCAGGACACAAUGGCUCUUCAACUGUGGUUCCACAGGGCAGGGGACGGGUGCAGCCCCUUGGCCCUGCCAACACUGCGCUCCUCCCCCUGCCCACAGACGGUGCUGAAGCUGCUGGUGGCUGGUGAGGGCCGCCGGCGUACAGGCGUGCUCAUCCCUGUCCCGCAGUACCCGCUCUACUCGGCCACUCUGGCCGAACUGGACGCUGUGCAGGUGGACUACUACCUGGAUGAGGAGCGCACUUGGGCACUCGAUGUGGCUGAGCUGCGGCGCAGGCUGUCUCAAGCACGUGACCACUGCUGCCCACGCGCGCUCUGCGUGAUCAACCCCGGCAACCCCACCGGUGCGCCACCUCCCUGCCCCACCUACCCUGACCCCUCCAGCUGCUACAUGCUCCUAGGCCUACCACAAUGGGUCAGUCAACCCCCACUGUCCAGAUGAGCAGGGGUGGGGUGGUGGGUGCCCGCAGUUGACCCUGGCCGCGCUGCUGUCCCCAGGGCAGGUGCAGACCCGGGAGUGCAUCGAGGCUGUGAUCCGCUUCGCAUUCGAAGAGGGACUCUUUCUGAUGGCUGAUGAGGUGCUUACAGGGAUGCGCAAGGGAGGGUGGCUGCGGGUCAGCGGCCGGCCGCGUGACGACAGCGCCCCUGCAGGUGUACCAGGACAACGUGUACGCAGAGGGCUCGCGCUUCUACUCCUUCAAGAAGGUGCUCACCGAGAUGGGCCCACCGUACUCCACGCAGCAGGAGCUUGCCUCCUUCCACUCAGCCUCCAAGGGCUACAUGGGCGAGUGCGUGUGGGCCGGUGGCGGGGGGGGGUUCUUGGACUCCAGCCACUUUCCUGCCCCCUUCUUCCCGGCUGGGCCUCGACCUUGACGCCUGCCCUACCUGGCAGGUGCGGGUUCCGCGGUGGCUACGUGGAGGUGGUGAACAUGGACCCCGAAGUGCAGCGGCAGAUGCUGAAGCUGAUGAGUGUGCGGCUGUGCCCGCCUGUGCCGGGCCAGGCCCUGCUGGACAUGGUGGUCAGCCCGCCAGCACCCUCUGACCCCUCCUUUGCGCAGUUCCAGGAGGUGAGGGAAAUGAGGCCAAGGGCAUCUGGCGAGCCAGUUGGGAAAAGGAUUGAGGGCUAUUGUGUCCCUGCCAUGCCCUGAUUGUCCCCUCCGUGGCUGCAGGAGAGGCAAAUGGUGCUAGCUGAGCUGGCGGCCAAGGCCAAGCUCACGGAGCAGGUCUUCAAUGAAACUCCUGGCAUCAGAUGCAACCCAGUGCAGGGUGCCAUGUACUCCUUCCCUCGAGUGCAGCUGCCCCCCCGGGCGGUCCAGCUUGCUCAGGUCUGGUGGGGCAGGGCAGGGUGGGGCGGAGGCCUGGGCAUAGAGCUCUGACCGCCCUCCACACCGCAGGAGCUCGGCCUGGCCCCAGACAUGUUCUUCUGCCAGCGCCUCCUGGAGGAGACCGGAAUCUGCGUGGUGCCUGGGAGCGGCUUUGGGCAACUGGAGGGCACCUAUCACUUCCGGUGAGACCAGGCCCGCACAGCCUGCCAGUGCCUGCUGUGCCCCCUUUGGCUUAUAGCUUGCCCUUUCCAGGAUGACCAUCCUGCCCCCCAUGGAGAAGCUUCGACUGCUGCUGGAGAAGCUGAGCCGUUUUCAUGCCAAGUUCACCCGGGAGUACUCCUGAGGCCACCACAGGGACCAGGCUGGGCUGCCUGGACUGACUUUGCCCAGGGACCUGGUGGUCUCUGGACCCCUCAGAACUUGCUGCUGCCCCUUGGGGGCUGGGCAUCUCUCUCUGCCAGUUCCUAAUAAAGCUGAGUGUGGUUAUGACUCUGGAGGGGUGAGCCCCACUUCCAUGGGUGAUGACUCCA